Long non-coding RNA from Grammomys surdaster, 1037 nucleotides. RefSeq lists it as uncharacterized. NCBI's taxonomy places the organism in Eukaryota, Metazoa, Chordata, Mammalia, Rodentia, Muridae. The record is from RefSeq and is a predicted model, not a curated record. The transcript is spliced from 3 exons.
GCUGCAUAUGCUUUUAGAAUUGAUGCAUUUCAGUAUUACCAUUAAAACAUGAGAAUCCUUCCCCAUUUUUGUGGUGCUGGGAAUCAAACCGAAGACCUAGCAUGUGCUUGGUGAGCAUUUGACCACUGAGCUACACUUCUCAGCCCCAAACAUGGGAUUCUUAACACUCAUGAAACCACCUAGGAGCAGAUUGUAGCAUCAUUAGGUAUUAAAGGUUCUCCCACUGUGUCAUCAAAGCUGCUAGUCAUUAUUGGCAAUCAGUUUAAAUUACCAGAAAGCUGCUGGGAAACAUCUGCCAUUCACACUGUUUGCAAGCACUGCUUGCUAGCAUUUUAGUAUGUUUGGAGCCAUAAAGAGAAAGUAUCCGCUGUUGACUACUUCUGUUUGUCCACGCUGCAUUUCCUGUGAACUGUUAAUGGUGCUUCUCGUUUUCUGAUUAUUUUUCUUAUGUGUUAAACAAGUGAAUUAAAAGAUGUUUUCAUAAUGCCAAACAACAUAGCAGUUCAGUGAUCAUGAUCAAAUAGUAAAAAUACAAGGUGUCCCCAAAAUUAGUGACUACUUCGCACUUACUGUCCUGCGGGGUCUCUGGAGACACUACAACAGAAGCAUAAAAGUUACACACUUCACAGAACAUCAUUUGAAAGUUUUAAUUUUACCAAUUUGAAAUAAUUAAGCUAAUUUUUUUUGUUUCUCAAAGAUUGUAAACAUAAACCAAAAAUAUUCCAAAUUUGGAGAAUUAAGUUGAAAAGAAAGGUAACUUAAAACUUUUAAAUAAUGUUUCAUUAGUUUUGUAGCAUUUUUAUAAUUCUACAGGCAUCAGAGCUUACUUACCACUGCAUGGAGAUUUGGGAGCUGCUUGUCUUUCCAUGGAAGCACUCCUGUUUUCAAGUAGUUCUUUGCCAGGCUGGGCUCUAACUGCUUUGAUCACCUAAGUGUCUUUACACUCAGUUAAGGGAGGCUAUGAAAAGCAGUGUUAACUCCCAUGCAACAAAUCAAAAGGAACCAGAUCCUCAAACAGCCAGAUCGGAAGAGCGUCG